Molecule: small nuclear RNA, 84 nt
Filed under: Mesocricetus auratus (golden hamster)
Lineage: Eukaryota; Metazoa; Chordata; Mammalia; Rodentia; Cricetidae
Source: RNAcentral
GAAAAAAACUGGAAUGACACAGAAGAUUAGCGUGGCCCCUGUGCCGUGAUGACAACGCAAAUUCAUGAAGCGUUACAUAGUUAA